This 21-nucleotide non-coding RNA is filed under the name Arabidopsis thaliana (thale cress). The record is from RNAcentral. Lineage: Eukaryota; Viridiplantae; Streptophyta; Magnoliopsida; Brassicales; Brassicaceae.
GGCAACGAAGGAGACUGCGCC